CUCGUAGGCGGUUCGUCGCGUCCGGUGUGAAAGUCCAUCGCUUAACGGUGGAUCCGCGCCGGGUACGGGCGGGCUUGAGUGCGGUAGGGGAGACUGGAAUUCCCGGUGUAACGGUGGAAUGUGUAGAUAUCGGGAAGAACACCAAUGGCGAAGGCAGGUCUCUGGGCCGUUACUGACGCUGAGGAGCGAAAGACGUGGGGAGGCGAGCA
Molecule: ribosomal RNA, 209 nt
Filed under: uncultured bacterium
Lineage: Bacteria
Description: partial 16S ribosomal RNA
Rfam family: Bacterial small subunit ribosomal RNA
Source: RNAcentral